UACGGAGGAUCCAAGCGUUAUCCGGAUUCAUUGGGUUUAAAGGGUGCGUAGGCGGAAUUGUAAGUCAGUGGUGAAAUCUCUUCGCUUAACGAAGAAACUGCCAUUGAUACUGCAAAUCUUGAGUACAUUUGAUGUGGGCGGAAUGUGUCAUGUAGCGGUGAAAUGCUUAGAUAUGACAUAGAACACCAAUUGCGAAGGCAGCUCGCUACACGAAUAUUGACUCUGAGGCACGAAAGCGUGGGGAUCAAACAGG
Molecule: ribosomal RNA, 253 nt
Filed under: uncultured bacterium
Lineage: Bacteria
Description: partial 16S ribosomal RNA
Rfam family: Bacterial small subunit ribosomal RNA
Source: RNAcentral